GGAGUUAGCCGGUGCUUCUUCUGUGAGUGAUGUCCUUCCUGCCGGCUAUUAACCCGCAUGCCUUCUUCCUCACUGAAAGUGCUUUACAACCCGAAGGCCUUCUUCACACACGCGGCAUGGCUGGAUCAGGGUUGCCCCCAUUGUCCAAUAUUCCCCACUGCUGCCUCCCGUAGGAGUCUGGGCCGUGUCUCAGUCCCAGUGUGGCUGAUCAUCCUCUCAGACCAGCUACGGAUCGUCGCCUUGGUGAGCCGUUACCUCACCAACCAGCUAAUCCGACAUAGGCUCAUCCGAUAGCGCGAGGCCCGAAGGUCCCCCGCUUUCCCCCGUAUGGCGUAUGCGGUAUUAGCCUGGGUUUCCCCAGGUUAUCCCCCACUACCGGGCAGAUUCCUAUGCAUUACUCACCCGUCCGCCGCUCGCCACCAGGGAGCAAGCUCCCCGUGCUGCCGCUCGACUUGCAUGUGUUAGGCCUGCCGCCAGCGUUCAAUCUGAGCCAGGAUCAAACUCUGA
This 507-nucleotide ribosomal RNA is filed under the name uncultured bacterium. RNAcentral describes it as "partial 16S ribosomal RNA". The record is from RNAcentral.